GCAUUGGUGGUUCACUGGUAGAGUUCUUGCCUGCCGUGUGGGAGACCCGGGUCCGAUUCCCGGCCAAUGCA
This 71-nucleotide transfer RNA is filed under the name Danio rerio (zebrafish). It matches the Rfam family "tRNA". Rfam says of the family: Transfer RNA (tRNA) molecules are approximately 80 nucleotides in length. Their secondary structure includes four short double-helical elements and three loops (D, anti-codon, and T loops). Lineage: Eukaryota; Metazoa; Chordata; Actinopteri; Cypriniformes; Danionidae. The record is from Rfam by way of RNAcentral.